RNAcentral lists this long non-coding RNA (1176 nucleotides) under Canis lupus familiaris (dog). Its description in RNAcentral is "lncRNA (ENSCAFG00805000061.1)". RNAcentral also lists the same sequence under 1 other name. Lineage: Eukaryota; Metazoa; Chordata; Mammalia; Carnivora; Canidae. The record is from RNAcentral.
AUGGCAGCACUUGGGAUUCCAGCAGGCAGCUCUGCAGGCCUCAUGAACUGGUCAGAAGUCUUCACUGCCAGGCCUGAUGGCACAGCUCUGGGGAGGGACUGCUGUAGGCGAGGCCACCUCGGGGAGCUUGCCACCAGUCAGCGCCCAGCUGGGGGUGGCCUGUGGGCCUCCUUGGGAAGGCUCACUGUGGGUGCUCUGAGCAGAGCAGGGAGGGUGCUCUGGGGCCGCGGGUCAGCUGCACUGCGGGGGGCGGGGGGGGGGGGGCGUCAGAGGCUAGAGCUCAGCUUGCUCUCCCAGGGCCUAGCUGCCUCCAGGCCCGGCUGUCCCCCACCUCUGCCCUGGCCACAGCCACCCCCGCUGGGAACCAGGUCUGCCCGGGCUCAGCUCCACCCCCACUCCCCCCUUCCGCCCCCACCCCACCUCCUCCGACCCCCGCCCCAUCUCCAUCCCUUCCCCCACCCCCACGUGGUCUCCCGCCCCAGCGCCCCGCCUGCAGGCCGCCGCUCACCGGCUUCUCCUCCGCGCGGAUGUGGGGAUGGUGCCCAGGCACAGGCCGACCGGUGGCGGCCACGAAGGCGACGGACACGCCGGCGAAGAGCGCGGGUCGUCCAGCGGGUCCCGCAGGCGCCGGCCGUGCCCCGCGCCCCCUGGUCUCCCCGCGGCCCCGCGCGCCUCGGCCGCCUCCUCCGCCUCCUCCUCGCGGCGGCGCAGGCGGCGGCGGAGGCAGCAGCGCCCCAGGCGCCCUCGUCGAUGCCCCGGAGGCCCCGGCGCCCAAGGCCAGCGCCGCGGUGGCGCGGGAGGCGCACGGGCUGCGGUCGAAGAACUCGUGGCACCCGCAGGACCUCGCCGUGGCCUCGGCAGGCCCGCAGGCGCUCCAGGCGCGCGAGGGGACAGCCAGGCGCACCCUGCAGCCGCCCACGAUAUGGUGACACGCGCCGGCCGCCCGCGGGCUCAGGGCGCAGGGCCAUGGCCCAGGGUGCCCGCCACGCUCAGGACACAGCGCCUGCAAAGGAACAGGGGCGUCAGGCCGCGGGGCACCCGACAGAGGGUGCGGAGCCCGGUCGUCCCACGCCCACAGGCCACCCCAGAGCGGGCCCCUUUGGUACCGCAGAUCCGUUCAGGACGCCCUGGCCUCAGCGCACGUCCCUUGCGCUGGAGGGAUGGCGGCCCUGGUGA